CGUCCCCUCACACUGGUCAAUUUCAAGGUCAGAGCCAUCUUUGCAAUGCUCUCAAAAACCCUUACCACUUUGGCUGCAGAUGAGUGCAGUUGGUAAAGAGCCUGCCUGCUGUGUACAAAGCCCCGAGUCCUAGCCUGGGCUCCGUAUAAACCUGAUAUGGUGGCAUAUGACUGUCAACCCAUAAUCCAGGAGGGCAAGGCUGUAAGAUCAAGGUCAGCCUUGGCUGCAUGACACCCCUAUCCUGGGGUGACUCUGAUGCUCUCCCUCUAAUUUCCCCUCUCCACAGGUAGUAGAAAAAUAAAGCAACCUCGUUUUGUGAAACCCUGGGAGCACCAGUCACAUGUAGCCAUCCCUCUCUGGUCCCGAGUCUGCAGUCAUGGAGCUAAGGUGUUUUGACAUUGUUGUGCCUUGGAGUCAUCAUUUGAGCUAACAUUUCUGUUCUCUCUGGGGUGAAAUGGCCCACCCAGCCCUGCAGGGCAGCCUUUUUCUCCAGGGUUGGGCUGGCCACUCGGCUGGGAUAACAGAAUGCCCUGUUGUGUGAAUGAUGAAGGUGUGGCAUGCCCAGCAGUGAAGGGUUUCUGCACGUGGAGUUUGAUAUCUGUGACCAGAGUUACCACCAGAGUCUUGGAAAGUGCUGUCUGGAUGACCCCGUGUGCCUGUCGCUCUCACACGAGGUUCGGAAAGAUCAGUCACAGAUGCGCUCAAAUCACCUCUGCUUAGGAUCUGCAAAACAGUGAUGCCAAACUGCAGUGCCACACAGAGGUACGGAUGUCCUGGCAAGAGACCAGCAAGGUAGGAUGCAGACAUGGCCCCCUUCUUCCUCGCACAGCCACCCGGCUGACGUCAUCAAACAUGCUGCUGUAAGAAAAUGUGUGAGGGCUGCCAUUCUCCACCUCCUCGGAAACUAGAACCUUACAUGGAGUUUCAUCCAAGGCCCUGUGUACAUUUCCCAUGUGUUCCUGACCCCGCUGUUUACUGGGCUCUCCUGCAAGUCUGGCAGUCAGAAGUCUGAGAACAAAGCCAUCACAGCAGGCCUUGCCCCUUGAGAGCCAGGUAAUGCCUUCCUGGCCUUCUUCCAACGUCUUCAGCCCUUGCCUCUCGGGGUUUGUACAAGUUCUACUCUCAUCCUGGCUACCAACUUCAUGCUUGAGUCUCUGUCCCAAUGGAACGAAUGUUUUCCCUUCUCUGAUGACAGACCUGUGGACCAAGGUUUGCAUGUCAUCUCGGUGUGACCUCGUCUAAUUCACUUUUGCAUGGAGUUUAUUUCCCGACAGGCACGGGUUUCGAGUUUCAGGCCUUUGGCUUGUCGCCUUUUGGGUCAAGCAAUUCAAUCUCCACAGUACCCUAGCUAUAGGACUCUACUUAGCAAGAAGCUCCACCCAAGGCAUCCUUCCCAUAAGAUUUCUGAUCAUAGUUCAUGCUAGGCCAGGUUUACUCUAUCAAGAAGGUUAUUAAAGGACAAUGCUUUGGUCCAAUGAUACAGCCAGGGUCACUUUUACCAUUAGGAAGUACAGAUUUUAAAUGUCUGUGAGCUUAUUUUUAUCUGGAAGGAAAUGCACCUGACUGCUGUGCUCCUUCAUUGAUGGUUUCUUUUUUGGGGGAAGGUGGUUAGAAAACCGCACUGGGCUUUGAGCUGACUCGGGGUUGAGCACCACAUAAGCCUAGGUUAUAAUUAUGCUACCCUCUGCAAUAGAUUUCCCCAAAACGGCCUGCCCGCUCCUUAGAAUGUGAAGCAUUUUAAAUAACGGUCCCAUUCGUCAUUCACAGUGUGACAGCCCGGCGAUUGCCUUUUAUUUAAGUGAAAGGUCAAGAGGUUUUGAUUUAAACAGGGGUUGGAUCAAGGAUGGCAUGUCUACAGCAGUGACAUUCUGUGAAUGAUGGAAGACAGACACGCUGAGUCCUGGCCGCACGCUGUAACUGCAGAAACCGAGCGUCCUCCCCUUCUGGGGGAGGGAAACAGUCCAGCCCACACUCUACCUGCAUGCUCAUAGCUGUAGAAAGCCAGUCUAUACCUUGGGAGAUUCAGUUCUUUACAGAAGACUGUGUCUUCCGGCAAGGGGGGGUCAGGUGUCAGGGGAAGAGGGCUCCCAUCCUAAUGCAUGCUGGUAGGGAGAACAAAACACUAGAAGUCAUGGUACUUUCCGGCUGAGACAUGCUGGUCUGGUCGUGUGGAAGGAAUAGGAGGCUAUUCAUCCUCUGAAAGGCAGCCACCCAGGAGAGCCGUUUAGCCUCCUUGUUGUAACUGCCUUGAGGGGUCUCCAUCUAACAGAGUGUCUCUUCUUACAGUGAAGAGCAUUACAUGCUCACAUCCCCCUCCGUGGGAGCUAGCCUGGAGCUCAGAGGAGUCCACUGAACUUAGCUUCAGUCAGAAGCUUGGAUUUUCUUCCAACUGUGCUUUAUAAGGCUACCAUGACUCAGCCUGCCACAUUGAUAAGGGAAGGAAGGACUCAGGUCCCCCUGUCAGGUGCCUGCUACAUUCCUCCUCAUUCAAUUCUGACAAGCAUGGGAAGUGACCAUGCCCAUUAAGGUGCUUCUGCCGAGAGGUGAAGCGAUGUCCCUGAGUGCUCAGGGUGAGAGACUAUGGUUUGUCACUGGCCACUGGAGCAUUCCAGGACGGGGACUCUCAAGAGCUGGCCUCUGUUAAUCUCCUCUUCCUGACUCCCAGAUCAGCAGGAGUGGGCCUCCUCUCUGUUACUUUGUUACUGGGCAAGAACUCAUUAAAAAAAAAACUUCCUGCAUGGGGGCCCAACCCCAGUUAUGCCUAUCCCCCAGUUAAUGCAGUCUCCACUAUUGGCUCCGAGCUGACUCUGUAUAUUCCAGCUCCUGGGGCUAUUGGGAGCUGUCUGUGUUUGGACCGCUGGGCCAAGAUUCAGAAAGACAGACAGCCUCUGGUGCUGGUGUAUCCUGCAGUUUUAGUGCUUCCAAGAUUGAUCAGGUAACCGCACUCCUUUGAAAGACACCUAUGAAUGAGCCGCUGUGUCCCCGUAGGACAAGAGGGUGUCCUUUUAAGUGUCUGCUGUCAUCUGACUCUGUGCAUGGACACAAAUGUUCUGGGGAAGACUGUGUCUGGGCAGGGAGACUUGGAAAAUUAAGUUCCCUCCAAGAGAGAUGUUGAGGAGCUGGUUCAAGCUACAGGAAGUGUUGCUUGCCUCUUGUUCCCUGGGUAGUGGCGUGGUAGGGUGAGAGCUUAUCUGGGGAAAUGGAAAUGAAAGCCAGACUGUUGGUUUACAUGUGAACAGGAGUCCCAGGCAUGACUGGCCUGAGAAAGUCAAUCAUUACCAUCCUAAAAGGCCUUGCUGGUGUCAACUGGAGAGCAGACAAAAACCCAAAAAUUAGCGCUCCUGUGUAACUUUUGUUGUGCUGUGUCUAAGUCAGGGUUUCUAUUCCUGCACAAACACCAUGACCAAGAAGCAAGCUGAGGAAGAAAGGGUUUAUUCAGCUUACACUUCCACAUUGCUGUUCAUCACCAAAGGAAGUCAGGACUGGAACUCAAGCAGGGCAGGAAGCAGGAGCUGAUGCAGAGACCAUGGAGGGAUGUUACUUACUGGCUUGCUCCUCCUGGCUUGCUCAGCUUGUUCUCUUAUAAAACCCAAGACUACCAGCCUAGGGGCGGCACCACCCACAGUGGGCCCUCCCCACUUUAUCAGUAAUUGAGAAAAUGCCUUACAGCUGGAUCUCAUGGAGGCAUUUCCUCAAGGGAGACUCCUUUCUCUGUGAUAACUCCAGCUUGUGUCAAGUUGACACACAGAACCAGCCAGUGCACGAUGUCUGUGUUAAGUGGUCAAAGUGGCUGAGGAGAAGAGGUCAGUGAAGAUUUGGGGGAGGGGUUGUCUGUGAUUCUGGCUGAGGUAGGAGCUGGUACCUUUGUCUGCUAAGGACAUGGUAAAUCAUUUUUAUGUCCCAGAAUUGAAGGAGUUCUUUGGAUCAUGAGAACUGUUCACAAUCAUGGUUAGAUCUCAGAGAGAGAGAGAGAGAGAGAGAGAGAGAGAGAGAGAGAGAGAGAGAGAGAGAGAGAGAGAGAGAGAGACAUAAUGAUCCUUUGAGGACCCCAUCCUUUGGCUUGUAGGCCCAAGGACAAUGCUUGUCCAGCUCACAUGGGACUUGGGCACACAUCUGGAGAAAACAUCGGUCUUCAUACUUUCUGGAUUUGUAAAGUUGGAUAAUGGGGCACUGUGAAGACACACACAGGUGAUAGCAUGGGUGAUCAACAUUGCAGCCUUCAGUGUGGAGGAAGCUCAAUUUUACCCACCAGUCACUGUUGUAGUGAGGAGACUUUAGGAGGUUAAUUAUGGCUACAGUAGCCAGGGGUGUUCUGACUUUAUUCUGAUGAAACACAGGAUGUGCAGUCAUGUCUUCGUGUGUGUGUGUGUGUGUGUGUGUGUGUGUGUGUCUGUCUGUCUGUCUGUCUGUCUGUCUGUCUGUCUGUUGUUCUCCCAUUGCAGAGAGCUGAGCAUCUGGUAUGCUGCUUCAAGAGUUUAUUUACAUCCUCUCUGGCUGCAUAUAGACAGAAGUCACCAAGCCCUGAUCUCCGGGAACUUAGGGACACUGAGUGUCUCUGCUCAUCUUUGCUCCUUCAACCUUCAUCAGAGAAGCAGAGGUCUCGUGCCCCACAGGCCAUGGGGAGAAUGUUUUGUGGAGAAGAAUGGAGUAAAGACCAGCUAACCCAGCCUUCGAGCUUAGCUCAAGGCUCCUGCAACUUCCACCUAAGUGUUUAAGGCAUUUCUAAAAUCCAACUGGGGGCUCGCAGGGCUGAGCCCAGAGGCUAAGCGAGGACUGCGUACCUCUGUGUAUAGAUCCCAGAGACAAAUUGACCUUGGCCAACAGGAAUGUUACCACCAUAAGCUCUGGAAAGCUACAAGUGCCAAGUCCAAACCACACAGGGCUCUCUCUAGCUCUUUAACAGCAAGUCACCUACCUAACAUCCUCAUGAUGAGCUGAUCGACUUCUUGGAAUGCGCCCUUAGGCUAAGCCGACCUCUAGUUUCCACCAAAGUGGAAACUACUGAAGCUACUGCCACCAAGUGCUCCUGAAGCCCACAGAAGAGACUUUUCCACUCCACUGCCACACACCUCACUGAUGUUCCUACCCACGUAAGUGGACAAUGUAUUGAUGUGACAUUUUCCCUUGUGGCUCUUAAAACUUCUUUAUCACUUCUUCUAUUGUGGAUCCUGUCAUUCAGGGUAACCCGAAUCUGUUCUGAGGGGGCAUAGUCGCUCUUGUUUGGCUUGCAGCAAACGGCUCUUUAUUUCCCUUAAGGCAGAGUUGCUGUCUUACGACGAUGGGGCCCACAAGUAGCUCCCUGCUUAGCUGCUGGUUCCAGGGAAUUUUAUGGAUUGCUUUUGAGUUUCUUGGAUGACAUAAUCUUUCAGGACCAGACAUCUCCAGGGAAAGACUAUUUGUUGGCUCCUCCCACCAUGUCUGGGUAUGUCCAGAUACAUCUAAACCAUGCCUUUCUUGGGUUAGCCUGUGGUGAAGAUGUUUAUGAACAGUCUCUUUCUUGGGUUAGCCUGUGGUGAGUGCAGAACAGUGAAAUACAGCCUCAGCUGACAACGUUUCCGGGUUACAUUUUGUCCUGUGCUCUUCUGUGCCCUACGAAGAGACCGUGCUCCUAUCCAUCCCAAAUCUCCCACCCAUGAAGACACCCACGAUGGUCCCUCCUUACUCUCAGCCAGACACAACCAGGGUCAGCUGGAGAGGGAGAGUUGAUGAGAGACCGUCUAGAUCUGACUAGCUUGUGCACAUGCCUGUGAGGAAUUGUCUUGAUUGCUAACUGCCGUGGGAAGGGUCGGCACACCGGGGGUGACAUCAUUCUCUACGUGGAGAGUCCCAGACUGUGUGGACAGUGCACACAUCAGAUGCACAUGUGUUUAUUCCUCCUGCUCUUGGCCAUGAAUCUGACUACUUCUCUCACAUCCCUGUUGUCUGAACUUCCCUACAAUGGAAGGGAUGGACUGGAACCCAGAACUGUAACUAUAAACUAAAUCCUCCCCCUCUUCUUUUUUCAUUGCUUGCUUUCUUUUCAGUUUUUUUUGUUUUGUUUUUUGUUGUUGUUGUUGUUUUUUUUUUUGUAUUUUUUUCCCCACAGCAACAAAAACGAACCAGGCCAGUGACCUUAUCUGGAAACAGGGUCAUUGCAGAUAGAGUUAAACAGAUUUCGUGAUAGAACCGGGUGGGCUCUGAAUCCAACAGUAUUGAUGUCUAUGGGAAGAGACGUCGUGUGAAGCCAGACGUGCACAGAGAGCUGUGAAGAUGAAGUUUCCUCCUGAGAAUCACCUCCUAUAAUUCAGAAGGACUGGAUAAGAGGGUCCUGCAGCACUGAGAAACCGGAUGAAGCAAGAGAGGGGGACGCCUUUCCAAGACUGGGUACAUUUCUGCUGAUGCUUCCAGUCCUCAGACAGUAAAGAAUAGAUUUCUGGAGGAAACCCUGACUUGUUGCUAUGGCAGCCUUAGGAGGUUAAGAUGCCGUUUAGUGAGCCCAGUCCCCUGCCUGGUUGACUCUUAUCUCAACCCAGGUUCACUCCAUCUCUGUGCCAAUGCGGUUCCUUCGGGGAGUGGGUAUGACAGCGGAGCAGUGGCGUGUGGGACAGCACAGAGUGGUUCUGACGCACACUCCAUGGACACCAGCUUCUACCGCCCACACUUCUUUCGCUAUGGUGCAUCCAAAGGGCAGGAAUGGGGCAGCGGAGAAAUCAGCAGAGGCCUAUCUCAGAGCGUGUCAGCUCAAGGUCUGGAAUCCUCCGGGUCUGGUCUGGAGAAACUUGUUUAACCUGUUAUUUUUUUAAAAAAAAAAUUAAUAAUUUUUUGAAUAGGUAACAUAUUCACAGGGUUCAAAAAUACAUCAAAAAGGCACAUUGUGAAAGCACGCUCCUCUUCCAUAUUUACCCACCUCCUCCACAAGCUUCUUCCCCGCGGCCCCAGGAAAUAUCUGAUUAAUUGUUCAUGGGCUCCUGGUAUUUUUGAAUGCACAUAAAAGGAGAUAAAAAUCG
Rattus norvegicus (Norway rat) is the source of this 6986-nucleotide non-coding RNA. The record is from RefSeq and is a predicted model, not a curated record. Lineage: Eukaryota; Metazoa; Chordata; Mammalia; Rodentia; Muridae.